RNAcentral lists this ribosomal RNA (1024 nucleotides) under Klebsiella pneumoniae. RNAcentral describes it as "partial 23S ribosomal RNA". It matches the Rfam family "Bacterial large subunit ribosomal RNA", at positions 146 to 1212 of the family's 2925-position model. Lineage: Bacteria; Pseudomonadati; Pseudomonadota; Gammaproteobacteria; Enterobacterales; Enterobacteriaceae. RNAcentral also lists the same sequence under 2 other names. The record is from RNAcentral.
CACUAUCGUUAACUGAAUACAUAGGUUAACGAGGCGAACCGGGGGAACUGAAACAUCUAAGUACCCCGAGGAAAAGAAAUCAACCGAGAUUCCCCCAGUAGCGGCGAGCGAACGGGGAGCAGCCCAGAGUCUGAAUCAGCUUGUGUGUUAGUGGAACGGUCUGGAAAGUCCGACGGUACAGGGUGAUAGUCCCGUACACCAAAAUGCACAGGCUGUGAACUCGAAGAGUAGGGCGGGACACGUGGUAUCCUGUCUGAAUAUGGGGGGACCAUCCUCCAAGGCUAAAUACUCCUGACUGACCGAUAGUGAACCAGUACCGUGAGGGAAAGGCGAAAAGAACCCCGGCGAGGGGAGUGAAAAAGAACCUGAAACCGUGUACGUACAAGCAGUGGGAGCACCUUCGGGUGUGACUGCGUACCUUUUGUAUAAUGGGUCAGCGACUUAUAUUCUGUAGCAAGGUUAACCGUAUAGGGGAGCCGCAGGGAAACCGAGUCUUAACUGGGCGUUAAGUUGCAGGGUAUAGACCCGAAACCCGGUGAUCUAGCCAUGGGCAGGUUGAAGGUUGGGUAACACUAACUGGAGGACCGAACCGACUAAUGUUGAAAAAUUAGCGGAUGACUUGUGGCUGGGGGUGAAAGGCCAAUCAAACCGGGAGAUAGCUGGUUCUCCCCGAAAGCUAUUUAGGUAGCGCCUCGUGAAUUCAUCUUCGGGGGUAGAGCACUGUUUCGGCUAGGGGGUCAUCCCGACUUACCAACCCGAUGCAAACUACGAAUACCGAAGAAUGUUAUCACGGGAGACACACGGCGGGUGCUAACGUCCGUCGUGAAGAGGGAAACAACCCAGACCGCCAGCUAAGGUCCCAAAGUCAUGGUUAAGUGGGAAACGAUGUGGGAAGGCACAGACAGCCAGGAUGUUGGCUUAGAAGCAGCCAUCAUUUAAAGAAAGCGUAAUAGCUCACUGGUCGAGUCGGCCUGCGCGGAAGAUGUAACGGGGCUAAACCAUGCACCGAAGCUGCGGCAGCGAC